RNAcentral lists this ribosomal RNA (864 nucleotides) under uncultured archaeon. RNAcentral's name for it is "bacterial SSU rRNA". It matches the Rfam family "Archaeal small subunit ribosomal RNA", at positions 45 to 916 of the family's 1478-position model. The record is from RNAcentral.
CUAGCCAUGCGAGUCGUUGUAGUAAUACAAGGCAGACGGCUCAGUAACACGUAGUCAAUCUACCCUAUGGACGGGGAUAACCUCGGGAAACUGAGAAUAAUACCCGAUAGAUCAUAAUUCCUGGAAUGGUUUAUGAUUGAAAUGAUUUAUCGCUGUAGGAUGGGACUGCGGCCUAUCAGCUUGUUGGUGAGGUAAUGGCCCACCAAGGCUAUAACAGGUACGGGCUCUGAGAGGAGAAGCCCGGAGAUGGGUACUGAGACACGGACCCAGGCCCUAUGGGGCGCAGCAGGCGAGAAACCUUAGCAAUGUGCGAAAGCACGACUAGGUUAAUCCGAGUGAUUUCUGCUGAAGAAAUCUUUUGUCAGUUUUAAAACUACUAAUGAAUAAGGGGUGGGCAAGUCUGGUGUCAGCCGCCGCGGUAAUACCAGCACCUCGAGUGGUCAGGAGGUUUAUUGGGCCUAAAGCAUCCGUAGCCGGCUUUGCAAGUCUCCGGUUAAAUCCAACUGCUCAACAGAUGGGCUGCCGGAGAUACUACAAAGCUAGGGAGCGGGAGAGGUAGACGGUAUUCGGUGGGUAGGGGUAAAAUCCUCUGAUCCAUUGAGGACCACCAGUGGCGAAGGCGGUCUACCAGAACGCGUUCGACGGUGAGGGAUGAAAGCUGGGGGAGCAAACCGGAUUAGAUACCCGGGUAGUCCCAGCUGUAAACGAUGCAAACUCGGUGAUACAUUGGCUUAUGGCCAAUGCAGUGCCGCAGGGAAGCCGUUAAGUUUGCCGCCUGGGAAGUACGGUCGCAAGACUGAAACUUAAAGGAAUUGGCGGGGGAGCACCACAAGGGGUGAAGCCUGCGGUUCAAUUGGAUUCAAC